UCCGGGAAAGGGCUGGACCACAAGGGUCUAUUGUACGCAGCUUAACCCUGCAUUUCUACAAGAGGCUGUUUCCACGGCUCGGAUCCGUGACCUCCUGAUCACAUGAACGCAACUUUACCAGUUACGCCAACGCUCCUCUUCAGAGAUUGAGCAUGAUAAACAUUGAAAAUCUGAAAACUACAUCCAACACUUCCGUUACAUGUAACGUGCAUAUAAAUAAACUGUCGGAACCAAAGAAAGGUAAUUGUGGUAAUCCCUACAGUAGAAAGUAUCAUUUCAAGCAAAAAUGUGAAAUAGACUCGUGAAUGCAAUAUUUAAGCGUAUAUGCACAUAUAAAUGGUCAGUAUAACUUAGUAUUACCACUACUUUCCAUAUUUCCUUCAAAAGUAUGUACCUGAAAAUUCUUAAGUUGUUAUUAGCUAUGUCGUUGUCGCUUUCACAUGAGGAAGAAAAAUGUUACACCUCAUUAACCCAGAAUCCCCUCUUUGCUUCAUAGGCAUUUUUUAGGCUAAAGAUAUGAAUCCGACUGCUUAGAGAAUGUUUAGUUGACCCGAUUUUCACAGCUAUUGUGACUACUGACUGUGAUUUUUAUGACAUAAUCCUCUGAUCAUUUCAGCCCAUGAUUAAAUGAAGCUUGCGGAGCACAAACGCAAACAUUUUAUCUAUCACAUUGCCCUGGCACCGGACUAUCUAAACAACAACCCAGUAUAAUCCCACUUAGUGGGGUCUAGGCAGGGUAGUGUGUACGCAGACCUUACCCCUACCCUGGGGUAGAGAGGUUGUUUCCAAAUAGNNNNNNNNNNNNNNNNNNNNNNNNNNNNNNNNNNNNNNNNNNNNNNNNNNNNNNNNNNNNNNNNNNNNNNNNNNNNNNNNNNNNNNNNNNNNNNNNNNNNNNNNNNNNNNNNNNNNNNNNNNNNNNNNNNNNNNNNNNNNNNNNNNNNNNNNNNCAAGAACUUCCCACCUUGCUCUUGGGGAGACUCGAACUCACAACCUCUCGGUUGGAAGUGGGGGUUGCUUACCAUCAGAGCAACCCCUCUUGUCUUGGCACUGGACUAUCUAUCAUUACUAUAUGACACAUUCACAUAGUAAUUCAGUCUAAUGGAAGUGAAAUGAUACUUUGUGAUAUGUGUGUGCGUGUGUGUGAGAGAGGGGGUCGUGUUUGGAAAAGGACUAAAUUAGAAGAGUUGAUGAAAGAAGGAUCAUACAUAGUUUGUUGAAUUUCUGGUUAUGCUUUGAUGUUAACUGAUCUCGAAUAUUUUACUACAUGCACAAAAAAGAAAAGAUGCAAAUACAUUCUGCACAAAUUAGAAAUCCCACACCUUGCGCAUUGUCAUGCCAAGCUAAGCAAUAUACUUAGUUUUUCCCCAAGUCAAUACUCCUCUGCUUUAUGGUCAUUAAGUUCUAAAAGUUUUAAUUUUUGCGAACAGUAAGCAAAAAUUCAUUCAUUUUCAAGUUUCCAAUGAUAUUUGCAAGACAAGAACAGAUUGUGCAAGUACACCCACGUCCAGCCAGAAGUUUAUUAGCUAAGGGCUUAACAGAGAGACUACCUAAGUCAUAGAUUCAUCAGCGUCAAAAGAGUCUCUGAUGUUUCAAUCAAUCCCAGAGAUUCCUUGUCCUAAUUAAUUUCACAAUCAAGCAAAUAAAAUAGAUUCUAUAUAAGUACGAUCUUUUUACAAGUUUACUUAGAUUUGUUUGCGGAGAAAUCAAAGCGUGACUUGAGUUCCCAUUCUUAAUAUACAUUCAAUUGACAAUCUGUCUAUUUUGUUCUUAUCCUAGGUUCCCAACUGCAUCUAGACAAAAUUGACCAUGACAGUUACAUCGGCAUAUCUACCGCUUUCUUCGUCAUAUUCAGGGCUUUACUAACUAACGUCACCAUUCAUUUCUAGGUCUGGUAAGUAAUAUUUCACUAAAAAUUUUGAACUAGACUUAGGGUCAAACUGUUAAAAAAAAAAAUUCCUACUCAAAGAGAAAACAAAUAUGAAAAACACCAACAGAAUAAGAAGAAAAGCAAAGGACAAUUUACAGUAAAAACAUAAAGAUUUAACACAUCCAUUAUCUAUCAUCCUAAACAGUGAAACAACAACAACGAAAAACCCAGUGGAAUCCCACAAAGGGGGUCUUUNNNNNNNNNNNNNNNNNNNNNNNNNNNNNNNNNNNNNNNNNNNNNNNNNNNNNNNNNNNNNNNNNNNNGGGGGGGGGGGGGGGGAUGGAAGAGUGGGAGAAUGUGAGGUUGUUUCCGAUAGACCCUCAUCAUCCUAAACAGUGAAAGCAGCCAGGAAUUUUCAGGUCGACAGGAGAUCUUACAUAUACUAAUAUACUAAUUAUCAAGAAACAGGAAGGUAGAAGUCAAUCGAAGAAUUACCAAUCUAUCAUAACACACAUCAAAUCUCAAGGAACGAACUUUAUAGCCAAUCCACAAUAAACCUCAAUAUAUCUCAAAAAGGUGAGAACUUUCUAUGCACAAAAAAAGAUAGAUACAAAACUACUUUGAUGAAAUUCAAACAUAUACCAGAACCGAGUUAACAAAAAGAAAAAAAUGUAGCAACAGCGACAUAUGAAGUAAACUAAUCAGGUCUCAACCUCACUUGAUUAUCAAGAAACAGGAAUGUAGAAGUCAAAUCUAAGAAUUACUAUUCUAUCAUAACAACCAUUAAUUCUCGAGAACUAAACUUUAUAGCCAAUCUACCAAAAAGGUGAGAACUUUUUAUGCUCAAACAACAGAUAUGCACAAAACUUUGAUGGGAAUCAAUAUAAAACAAAACAACAACAACAACUCCAACAACAACAACAAGAAGCCUAGUGAGAUCCCACGUGUGGGGUUCGGGGAGGAUAGUGUGUACGCAAUCCUUACCCCUACCUUGAAAAAGUAGAUAGGUUGUUUCUGGUAGACCCUCGUCUAAGAAAGGAUACAAAAGUAAAGUGGAUAAAAAGGCUUAGGAAAGGUAAAAGCAUGAAAUAACAAUACGCAGCAGUACCAGCAAAGCAGUCAGAAAACCAUAGUGCAAAAAUCAACAGGUACUAACAGAAAUAACAAAAAUCUGAGAACAAGAAAUGCAAGACUAGCACUAAACAGCGCACUAAAACAAAACCAAGUUUAAAAAAAGGAACUUUCAACAAAAGAGACAGACUUUUGAAUCUAUCAAGUUAAAUCCGGAUCCACCUCUGGGUUAUGGAUCUCAUUCCACUUUUAUCUAAUGCCUUAUAAUCAAGAAACAGACCAUUUUAUCAUAUAACACCAUCAAAUCUCAAAAUGCAAAUUAUAUAGCCAAUCCACCAAAAGGUAAAAACUUAGAUUGUUACACAAAUAGCCAGCCAGAUUCAAUCUUUACUUUUUCUAGUCGAUAUACAUAGUUAUACAUGUAUCAUACAUGAAUUUAUAUAUAUAUAUCAUAAAUUCGCCGGCUAUUUUUAGUUUAAGAGAUUAUGUGGGCGGCUAUUUGAGUGAAUUCUUCAAUUUUCUAUGCACAAACACAAGAAUGCAUCAAACUCAGCUUAAACAAAAAACAACUUGAAAAAGAAUCAAAAGUUCAGCAAAAAGAGACAUACUUUUGAUCUCAUCAAGCCAACGAGGGAUGCUAUCAAAAGUGGUACGUCUAGUAAUAUCAUAAACAACAAGAGCACCAAAAGCACCACGAUAAUAAGCAGAAGUAACAGCUCUAAAUCUUUCUUGACCAGCAGUAUCCCAAAUCUGAGCUUUUACUUCUUUACCGUCAAUUUCAAGAGUUUGGGUCUGAAACUCAACUCCAAUUGUUGCCUUUGAAUGCAAGUUGAAUUCAUUUCUUGCAUAACGCGUUAACAAAUUUGAUUUUCCAACUGCUGAAUCACCAAUUAUUACAAUCUUGAAAAGAUAUUCCUCACCACUUUCAUUAUCUGAUGAAUCCAUUUUGAAGUUUUGAAAAGUGUAAGAGUCUUUGGGGGGAAGAGAGAGAAAGUGGAAAUGGUGAUCUAGAGAGAGAGGGAGAGGGAGUUGGGGUUUUUAUGUAAUAAGUAAUGGGCAGAGCUGGCAAAGAUUGGUACAGAGAAUGUGUAAGAAAGUGGUCUUCGCUGGAUUUUUUUUAUUUUUUGGGUGAGUUUCCUUAUUUUGAAUGAUUAAUUAGUGGUUGUCCUUUUUGGGUAAAUAAAGAGGUUUAUUAUAAUUAACAUCUCUUUAAAAAGAAGAUUAAACCGUUGAAGUUCAACAGUAAGAGUUCGUUUGGACAUGAGAAUUUUUUUACUUUUUUUUUUAAAAAAAUCACCUUUUUUUUAAAAAAUUUAGUAUUUGAUUAUAAAAUUUUUGAUUCUCACUUGAAGAUGAAUUUUGAAGCCCUUUCUUUCAAGGGAAUGAUCUUUUCAACUUACGUCGUUGGAUUGGUCAUCUGUGAAGCUUUGAGUAGCCUUCUUUCUCCCGGACCGGCAAAAAAGAGUCCUUUUUUCCCAAGCGAUUAUGUUCUGUCUGUGGCUUCUUCUAGUUCAUGUGCAGCCUACUCGUGAACAAGCCCGGCUAACAGCUCAUUUUCCAGCAUUCCUUUCAAGAUGUGAAUUAGGAAGGAUUGGUCGACGAAAUAUGAACCGAACACUGAACCUUGAUAUACCCCAGAACAACAUAUUUUUGUUACCACGAGAUAUAUUGGCAGCCGCCGAUCAUUUGAUUGGGCUGAAAUUUGGAAAAAAUGAUCCGAUAAAGAAUCAAACUUAUUUAAAUGUUCCUGCUAUUUUUAUUUCCUUGAAAAAAUGGCUCAACCUACAGGAACUGUUCAGGAUAUUUUAAAGAAGGCGGAGGUUUUUAAGGAACUUCGUCCUAAUCAACCGAAAUUCAAUUAAGGAAAUAAAUUAAAGAAAUACAAAAAGGGGUAGUCAUUUGUAUAUAACUUUGUAUGACUUUUCUCUUCUAUUUUUUUGUAUUUCCUCCCUUUCCUUUUCUAUUUGUACUUUUUUAUCAUUGUUUCAAAAUUUUAAAAAUCUCAAAAAGCUAUUUUUCAAAUUUAUUUUUCACUCAAAUCACUUGCAAAAAUUCAAAAGCAACCCUAAAGUUAUAAGCUACAACUCUAAUUUUUAAAUACCAUAUUUACUUGAAUAAAAAUUUACUUUUAUUUUUUAAAAAAUUUACAAUUCUUAUGUCCAAACGCCCACUUAAACUUACUCAUUUUCUUAAAGUCAUCGCGCUCAACGUUUACAUAAAUCAACCGAAGUAAAAUAAAUGUCUUUCAUACACAUAUUUAUCACUUAAGUAAUAUGUUAAUAUCACUUUAAUUUUAACUGCUAAAAUUGUUUUUAUUGAUUGGUGUAAAUAGUAUAUACAGGUAAAUAUGUAUCCAUGAACUUUAACUUUUAUAAAAAAUAAAUACACAUUUGGAAAUUACAUAAAGAUAUUAUAAGUUACAAUUUUCAAUAAGUAAUUUUAAAGUUAUUGGUUGUUUGGUGCAAGAAGUGAUGGCAAAAAUCGGUAUUGAGAAUAUGCAAGAAGUGGUGUUGCUGGAUUUUAUUAUUUUUCCUUUUCUUAAAUAAUUUCAUAGAUGGGAGAUAUUUUGAUAAAAAAAAAAAAGAGGUUAAUUAUAAUUAUAUAUAUAAUAAUUCUUCUUUCAAAGAAGAAGAAUGAGCUUCUAUUAUCUUAAACCGGAGAUUUUUGCAAGACUAAUGGUAAAUUGAUACUUCCGUUGUCCCAAAAGAUGAUUGACCCUGAUUAGGACGAUUAGUUUGUCUAAUUCUAAUGCGAAUUUGAAUGUAAUUAUUUUUAUUUUAUUUUUCAUAGAAAAUCCAGUGUUAAUAUGAAUCACACAAAAUUAAUUCUUGAGUCAAUUUAAAAAAAAACAUAUAUUGUUUGUAAAAGAAUACUUUUUGGGAUUAGUGUGACGUCGUUUAAACUUUGGAUCGGGAAGAUUCUAAUUGGUUCGUUGAUUUUACAGCGAAUUUGUCUCAAUCUAUCAAACUACCCAGUAUAGUCCCACAAAAUGGGAUUUGGGAGGAUAAUGUGUAGACGAGCCUUACCCCUAUCCGAAAGGGCAGAGAGGCUGUUUCCAAUGUCUCAAUCUGUCAAGUGCCUCUGGCGCGAAUAAUUAAUAGUAAGGUGAAAGAAUCCUUUUCUUUUUUGAAAAUUUUUAUCAUGUUAAUAUGGAGAUGAAAGGUGGAUUGGAAAGAGAUAACAUAUGGUUGAAUUUGAACCUUUCACUUAUGUGAUGGAAACUAAUACCAUUUCCAUUAUAAAAGAAAUUAAUUACAAUUAUAAUAUCACAUGUACUCAGAAAUGAUUGUGAAAACUACAUGCACCAUGUUUUCUUGACAUCCACUCACUAUAAAUACAACAACAAAAACAAUCCAGUAUAAUCUCACUUAAUAGGGUCUUGGGAGGGUAGUGUUUACGCAGACAUUAUCCCUACCUUUGGAUAGAGAGGCUGUUUCCAAAUAGACCCCGGCAUCCUUUCCUCCAAGAACUUCCCACCUUGCUCUUGG
Molecule: long non-coding RNA, 6426 nt
Filed under: Nicotiana benthamiana
Lineage: Eukaryota; Viridiplantae; Streptophyta; Magnoliopsida; Solanales; Solanaceae
Description: long non-coding RNA (NBEN_LNC007641)
Source: RNAcentral